Molecule: ribosomal RNA, 1401 nt
Filed under: uncultured bacterium
Lineage: Bacteria
Description: 16S ribosomal RNA
Rfam family: Bacterial small subunit ribosomal RNA
Source: RNAcentral
AGAGUUUGUCCUGGCUCAGGAUGAACGCUAGCGACAGGCUUAACACAUGCAAGUCGAGGGGCAGCGGGGUUGUAGCAAUACAACUGCCGGCGACCGGCGCACGGGUGAGUAACACGUAUGUAACCUGCCCUCUGCAGGGGGAUAAGCGGAAGAAAUUCCGUCUAAUACCGCAUGAUACAAUUUGGAGACAUCUCCGGGUUGUCAAAGGAGUGAUUCGGCAGAGGAUGGGCAUGCGGCGCAUUAGCUAGUCGGCGGGGUAACGGCCCACCGAGGCUACGAUGCGUAGGGGUUCUGAGAGGAAGGUCCCCCACACUGGUACUGAGACACGGACCAGACUCCUACGGGAGGCAGCAGUGAGGAAUAUUGGUCAAUGGGCGGAAGCCUGAACCAGCCAAGUCGCGUGAGGGAAGACGGUCCUAUGGAUUGUAAACCUCUUUUGCAGGGGAGCAAGGCGCGGUACGUGUACCGCGAAGGAGAGUACCCUGAGAAAAAGCAUCGGCUAACUCCGUGCCAGCAGCCGCGGUAAUACGGAGGAUGCGAGCGUUAUCCGGAUUUAUUGGGUUUAAAGGGUGCGCAGGCGGACUGUUAAGUCAGCGGUAAAAUGUCGGUGCUCAACACCGGCCGGCCGUUGAAACUGGCAGCCUUGAGUGAGCGAGAAGUAUGCGGAAUGCGUGGUGUAGCGGUGAAAUGCAUAGAUAUCGCGCAGAACUCCGAUUGCGAAGGCAGCAUGCCGGCUCCACACUGACGCUGAGGCACGAAAGCGUGGGUAUCGAACAGGAUUAGAUACCCUGGUAGUCCACGCAGUAAACGAUGAAUGCUGGCUGUCCUGGGGGACUGACCCCUGGGUGGCGAAGCGAAAGCGAUAAGCAUUCCACCUGGGGAGUACGCCGGCAACGGUGAAACUCAAAGGAAUUGACGGGGGCCCGCACAAGCGGAGGAACAUGUGGUUUAAUUCGAUGAUACGCGAGGAACCUUACCCGGGCUCAAACGGGGAGUGGCGCAGGCAGAGACGCCUGUUUCCCACGGGACACUCCCCGAGGUGCUGCAUGGUUGUCGUCAGCUCGUGCCGUGAGGUGUCGGCUUAAGUGCCAUAACGAGCGCAACCCCCGCGUGCAGUUGCUAACAGUCAACGCUGAGGACUCUGCACGGACUGCCGGCGCAAGCCGCGAGGAAGGCGGGGAUGACGUCAAAUCAGCACGGCCCUUACGUCCGGGGCGACACACGUGUUACAAUGGGUGGUACAGCGGGAAGCCAGGCGGCGACGCCGAGCGGAACCCGAAAUCCACUCUCAGUUCGGAUCGGAGUCUGCAACCCGACUCCGUGAAGCUGGAUUCGCUAGUAAUCGCGCAUCAGCCAUGGCGCGGUGAAUACGUUCCCGGGCCUUGCACUCACCGCCCGUCA